CUUGUUUUUGUUUCUUAAUUUUAGGUCUGAAAGCUAAUAACAUUGACUACACAGUUCAUUCAGUCAGAAGAGCUCUAGAAAACACUGCAGUGAAGGCUGACAAUAUAGAAGUAUUUGCUCAAGGACAUGGUAUUAUUCAGGUAUUGUUGCCUAUAUGAAAAAUGGGUUGUAAAGCAUCAUUGAGAUAAUAUCUUAGAUAUUAUUGGGUAAUAUUUUGUUUUAUAACAGUGAUUCAGUAUAUCUGAAUUAUGGAUUAUAUGGCCAUAGAACUACAAGCAAAAAGGAUACACAAACAAAUUUUGUAGUUAAGACAAAUCUGUUGCACUAAGAUCAAGAAAUGUAAUAGAUGGAGGCCAUGUAGAGGUUAGAAAUUCAAAGAAAUCGAGGUCAAAAACUGGCCAAUCAUAACGGCAUAGGGAUUAGUUCCUAAAUUUGGUCACUUGAGAAUAACAGUGUGAAUAGAGUGGAGUGGAAGAUGUGACUGGUGUUGUUUCUAAAAAUGUAGAAUUGUCCUCUUAGUUGGGGUACUAGGUAGUUUUGAGAGGUGAAUAUAGACACUAACUUUUUGUUUUACAACUGAAAUCAAAUUGAUUGGUAAUUUGCAACAAAAUAUUUUUUGACCCAACCAUUUAUAUCUUACCAUGUAUAUUAUUUUCACUAGGUUGAUAAAGCCUAUGACUACCUCGUUCAGAAUACAUCAUUUGCUAAUAAAUUAGGUUUUACUGUUACUGUUGGAAAUAACCGUGGCAUCUACCUCCGAGAUCCUGUUCAGGUGGCUGCACCUUCAGAUCAUGGCGUUGGCAUUGAACCUGUAUUUCCGGAGAACACAGGUAUAAGACAGAGCUUUCUGUUGAAGAAUGAAAAGUAGAAGCAGUCUAGGAGAACUGCAGCUCGA
Molecule: long non-coding RNA, 895 nt
Filed under: Homo sapiens (human)
Lineage: Eukaryota; Metazoa; Chordata; Mammalia; Primates; Hominidae
Description: HSALNT0206130
Source: RNAcentral